Trichomycterus rosablanca is the source of this 113-nucleotide long non-coding RNA. RefSeq lists it as uncharacterized. The transcript is spliced from 4 exons. Lineage: Eukaryota; Metazoa; Chordata; Actinopteri; Siluriformes; Trichomycteridae. The record is from RefSeq and is a predicted model, not a curated record.
CAGGGUCCUCUGGGGAUGGAUGGUAAGCCUGGUCCUCCUGGUCCCAAAGGCCCUCAGGGAAUGCCCGGGCCAAAAGGAGAUAAGGGUGAUCAGGGAGACAUGGGGCCUAGGGU